RNAcentral lists this ribosomal RNA (301 nucleotides) under uncultured bacterium. Its description in RNAcentral is "partial 16S ribosomal RNA". It matches the Rfam family "Bacterial small subunit ribosomal RNA", at positions 509 to 808 of the family's 1533-position model. The record is from RNAcentral.
CAGCCGCCGCGGGAAUACAGAGGGUGCGAGCGUUAAUCGGAUUUACUGGGCGUAAAGCGUGCGUAGGCGGCUUUUUAAGUCGGAUGUGAAAUCCCUGAGCUUAACUUAGGAAUUGCAUUCGAUACUGGGAAGCUAGAGUAUGGGAGAGGAUGGUAGAAUUCCAGGUGUAGCGGUGAAAUGCGUAGAGAUCUGGAGGAAUACCGAUGGCGAAGGCAGCCAUCUGGCCUAAUACUGACGCUGAGGUACGAAAGCAUGGGGAGCAAACAGGAUUAGAGACCCCGUAGUCCCUGUCUCUUAUACA